CGAUACUGCUGUGCUUGAGGGCAGGAGGGGAGAGUGGAACUCCUGGUGUAGCGGUGAAAUGCGUAGAUAUCAGGAGGAACGCCGGUGGCGAAAGCGACUCUCUGGACUGUUCCUGACACUGAGGCGCGAAAGCUAGGGGAGCAAACAGGAUUAGAUACCCUGGUAGUCCUAGCCGUAAACGAUGGGCACUAGGUUGCGGGUGUUUCGAUGACAUUCGUUUCCGUAGCUAAUGUGUUAAGUGCCCCGCCUGGGGAGUACGGUCGCAAGGCUAAAACUCAAAGGAAUUGACGGGGGCUCACACAAGCGGUGGAGCAUGUUGCUUAAUUCGAAGCAACGCGAAGAACCUUACCCGGGUUCGAAGUGCUAGGAUUAGCCUUCUGAAAGGGAGGUGACGCCUUCGGGUGGAACUAGCAUAGGUGUUGCAUGGCUGUCGUCAGCUCGUGUCGUGAGAUGUCGGGUUAAGUCCCUGAACGAGCGAAACCCUUGUCCUUAGUUGCCAUCACUUCGGGUGGGGACUCUAGGGAGACCGCCGUUGUUAAAACGGAGGAAGGUGGGGAUGACGUCAAGUCAUCAUGGCCUUUAUGCCCGGGGCUGCAAACGUGCUACAAUGGCCGGUACAAAGGGCUGCGAUGCCGCGAGGCGGAGCCAAUCCCACAAAGCCGGCCCCAGUUCGGAUUGGAGGCUGUAACUCGCCUCCAUGAAGUCGGAAUCGCUAGUAAUCGCGGAUCAGCUACGCCGCGGUGAAUAUGUUCCUGAGCCUUGUACACACCGCCCGUCAAGCCACGAAAGUCGGCAGUGCCUUAAGUCGUGAACCCAACCCGCAAGGGAGGGAAGCGCCCACGGUAAGGCCGAUGAUUGGGACUAAGUCGUAACAAGGUAGCCGUAGGGGAACCUGCGGCUGGAUCACCU
This 909-nucleotide ribosomal RNA is filed under the name uncultured bacterium. RNAcentral's name for it is "bacterial SSU rRNA". It matches the Rfam family "Bacterial small subunit ribosomal RNA", at positions 628 to 1528 of the family's 1533-position model. The record is from RNAcentral.